AUUGAACGCUGGCGGCAUGCUUUACACAUGCAAGUCGAACGGUAACAGGCCUUCGGGUGCUGACGAGUGGCGAACGGGUGAGUAAUGCAUCGGAACGUACCCAGAGGUGGGGGAUAACGCAGCGAAAGCUGUGCUAAUACCGCAUGUGAUCUGAGGAUGAAAGCGGGGGACCGAGCAGCAAUGUUUGGCCUCGCGCCUUUGGAGCGGCCGAUGUCGGAUUAGCUAGUUGGUGGGGUAAAGGCCUACCAAGGCGACGAUCCGUAGCUGGUCUGAGAGGACGACCAGCCACACUGGGACUGAGACACGGCCCAGACUCCUACGGGAGGCAGCAGUGGGGAAUUUUGGACAAUGGGCGCAAGCCUGAUCCAGCAAUGCCGCGUGCGGGAAGAAGGCCUUCGGGUUGUAAACCGCUUUCGGCAGGAACGAAACGGUGUCCGCUAAUACCGGGCGCUAAUGACGGUACCUGCAGAAUAAGCACCGGCUGACUACGUG
RNAcentral lists this ribosomal RNA (492 nucleotides) under uncultured bacterium. Its description in RNAcentral is "partial 16S ribosomal RNA". It matches the Rfam family "Bacterial small subunit ribosomal RNA", at positions 29 to 507 of the family's 1533-position model. The record is from RNAcentral.